Molecule: long non-coding RNA, 215 nt
Filed under: Rosa chinensis
Lineage: Eukaryota; Viridiplantae; Streptophyta; Magnoliopsida; Rosales; Rosaceae
Description: sRNA RchiOBHm_Chr3g0477041
Source: RNAcentral
UCGUCUCCGUUUCUUGGCAGAUUUGGUUCGAUGUGGUGAAGGUGAUGUUUGCAUUAACCUCUGGAAAUCUGAUGGUUGGAAAAUCGAAUUAGAUAUGGGUCCUUCCUUUGCACUUUCAAUUUUGUCGGAUUUGGUUGAUCGGCUACUCUGCAGUGGUGCGGAGAUCCAGAUUGGUUCUCAAUGAAGAUUCAUCAUGGAGGCAGGUUCUAUAGGUU